RNAcentral lists this signal recognition particle RNA (263 nucleotides) under Dehalococcoidia bacterium. RNAcentral describes it as "signal recognition particle sRNA large type". It matches the Rfam family "Bacterial large signal recognition particle RNA". From Rfam's summary of the family: The signal recognition particle (SRP) is a universally conserved ribonucleoprotein involved in the co-translational targeting of proteins to membranes. Archaeal SRP consists of a 7S RNA and homologues of the eukaryotic SRP19 and SRP54 proteins. Lineage: Bacteria; Bacillati; Chloroflexota; Dehalococcoidia. The record is from RNAcentral.
CCGUGCUAGACGGGGAGCUAGCGGUGCCCUGUACCCGCAAUCCGCUACAGCGGGGUUGAAUCCCUCCCGUAGGCCUGACCCAUGCGCCUCUGGCCCCAACGGGCUGUGUAGAUAGCCGGGUCCCUCGCGACGGAGGACUGUGAACCCCGCCAGGUCCGGAAGGAAGCAACGGUAAGCAGGACCCUUCGGGUGCCGAGGGAGCGCCUGGCUGGAGCCGUCCUUGCGGUCAUGCUCAAAGGUUUUCGUCGAAGAGAGGUGCACGG